CUAGUUGACUUUAAUAGAAGUAAUCGUGUUUUAGAGUGUCGAGAGGGAGGAGGACAAAAGGAGAUUAGAGAUAGAAUUUAUAUGCGUAAAUGGGAUUAUACUGAUGCUAGUAAAAGUCGUGCCAGCAGCUGCGGUUAUACGAUUAGAGGGGUUAUGGGGUUAGUUUUAAGUUUCAGAUCUGUAAUAAGAGGUGAAAUUCGUAAUUUGAGGAGAGGAACGGUGUGGGAUUAGUACGAAACAGAUUAGAUACCUGUGUAGGGAUUAUAGUUAACAUAGGAGGAAUAUUUUAAUGGUGUGGCGGUGUGCCUGAGAGAUAGGGGGACUUGGGCAGGAUAGUUAACCUAAUGAUGUGAUAUAGUGUCCUUUGUAUGAUUGUUUGAGCUGGGUUACACAGCUUCAAUCAAAUUUUAUAGGGGAGGUUAGAGUGUUCUGAGUUUUUUAUGUAAUUAGCAUAAAGGAUUUAUGAGUAAUUGAGGGGAUAUGAACCUAUCAGGCGCGAGUACAUAUCGCCCGUCAACACCCCUAGGGUGUAAGUCGUAACACAGUGACUUUAUUAGAAAGUGAAGUUAUCAAGGC
Molecule: ribosomal RNA, 576 nt
Filed under: Centrorhynchus clitorideus
Lineage: Eukaryota; Metazoa; Acanthocephala; Palaeacanthocephala; Polymorphida; Centrorhynchidae
Description: 12S ribosomal RNA
Source: RNAcentral